GGCUCCAUAGCCAAGUGGCUAAGGCACGGGUCUGCAACACCCAGAUCGUCAGUUCGAAUCUGACUGGAGCCUCCA
This 75-nucleotide transfer RNA is filed under the name Acholeplasmataceae bacterium. Its description in RNAcentral is "tRNA-Cys". It matches the Rfam family "tRNA". Rfam says of the family: Transfer RNA (tRNA) molecules are approximately 80 nucleotides in length. Lineage: Bacteria; Bacillati; Mycoplasmatota; Mollicutes; Acholeplasmatales; Acholeplasmataceae. The record is from RNAcentral.